AACAUGCAGUCGAACGGCAGCGCGAGAGAGCUUGCUCUCUUGGCGGCGAGUGGCGGACGGGUGAGUAAUAUAUCGGAACGUGCCCAGUAGCGGGGGAUAACUACUCGAAAGAGUGGCUAAUACCGCAUACGCCCUACGGGGGAAAGGGGGGGAUCGCAAGACCUCUCACUAUUGGAGCGGCCGAUAUCGGAUUAGCUAGUUGGUGGGGUAAAGGCUCACCAAGGCAACGAUCCGUAGCUGGUUUGAGAGGACGACCAGCCACACUGGGACUGAGACACGGCCCAGACUCCUACGGGAGGCAGCAGUGGGGAAUUUUGGACAAUGGGGGAAACCCUGAUCCAGCCAUCCCGCGUGUAUGAUGAAGGCCUUCGGGUUGUAAAGUACUUUUGGCAGAGAAGAAAAGGUAUCCCCUAAUACGGGAUACUGCUGACGGUAUCUGCAGAAUAAGCACCGGCUAACUACGUGCCAGCAGCCGCGGUAAUACGUAGGGUGCAAGCGUUAAUCGGAAUUACUGGGCGUAAAGCGUGUGUAGGCGGUUCGGAAAGAAAGAUGU
Molecule: ribosomal RNA, 553 nt
Filed under: Alcaligenes sp. DF18SC
Lineage: Bacteria; Pseudomonadati; Pseudomonadota; Betaproteobacteria; Burkholderiales; Alcaligenaceae
Description: bacterial SSU rRNA
Rfam family: Bacterial small subunit ribosomal RNA
Source: RNAcentral